AAGAACAGUAUUCCCUCCAAUCUAACAUCAUCCGUGGUAACGACAGGUGGCAGGCAAAACAGUGUUUCCUCCAGUGUGCCUUCAAGCGGGAAAUUUUCCGCGCAAAUCCAUCUCAAAUUCAAAUUCCCUCUCUUCCCUUUUACUUUUGGUGAUUGAACAUUAAGAAGCAACAAAAGCAAAGAAAAAAAAACUUCAGGGAUCUUCAUCAUCGCGAAGAUCAUCUUUUAUGAGGGAGAUUUGCUCCUUGCAACUGAAGAAGAGGCUAUUUUAGUACGAGAUAUCUCCACCAUUUUAAAUUCAUUCCCUUUCUCCUCUUUACUCUCAACUCUCAAGUCUCACCAGAUUUCAACUCCCCAAAACGUACCAUCCAUUUCAAAACAAACCCUAAACCCCUUGAUACUCCAAUUCUUGCUCCGCCAUUUCACUCGGCACCUACAAACUCAACAUCUUGCUCCGCCCUUUAUCUUUGUGUGACCUUGAUUGGUGACUCUAUUCAUGCUAUGUAGCCAAACAUGAGUCAAGGAGAAGCUGUACCUACAUCUCAUUGUUGCAUAAAAAUCUAAUAUAGGAUCUGUACUCUGAGGCUCCUAUGAAGAAAUCUGACUUUGGAGAUCACUGGAAGCUUGGAAUCGAGGAUGGUGCGAAGCCUCAGGUGUACAAUGAAGAGCAUGAGAAGUUGUUAUCUGCUGUGGCUGGGUGGGAGACGGUCGUGGUGGUUCAUAGUGGUGCCACAUAUUGUGUACAUCUUGAGCGGCACAAACGGGGACGCGUGGAGUGGGUUCUCAAUAAAGGCCUUUGAGAAUCUCUGGGGAUUCGUUCGUCUCUCCCUUACAUCUGCGGUUAUUCUCUGUUGGGCUUGACAAUGGGAUUAUCUGCAAAGACAUCUAUGAAGAUGUGAAAAAGUGACAAUGUUUUGGAUGACUACAGUAAUAUGGAGCUUGACAAGAUGGAGCAUGCAAAAGAUGAUUUUGAUGUCAACGAUUAUGGUGAGGAGGAUGAGAAAGAACAAGGAGAAGAGGAAGAAGAUGUAGAGAAAAGAACAAUUGAGGAAGACCAAAGUAGAUGGAAUAAUGAUGAGAUGGAACAACUUGAGAUACAAAUGUCCCAAAUCAGAGAGAGAAAGAGAUGUAUAUGACAAGUUUGGCCACACCUAUCAGAAUAGAGAAUAGAAUAAUGAAUAUAUAGGUAAACUUUGAUUUUUGCUAUUAUCUGAAUUUGGUGAUUUAUGGAAGGACUUAAAGCCAAGAUCUAUCUAAUUGAUUUCACCUCCAGGGAUUCACCCUCGACUUAAAGCUAAGAUCAAAUGUGUAUUUGUGCUGCAGGAUAAGACUAUUUUAUGUUGUAUUAUCUGGAAAGGGUUUGCACUAUUGACACAAUCUUAAAGAUGAAAAUAUAAUUGGAGAUGAACUGUAUUCAAUCAUCCUUAUGUUUUGUGCCGCCGUUAUGCUUUAGAAAAGAAUGAGUCGACCUUAUGGAAGUUGAAAAGGAGGUUUCAGAAAAUCAGAGGCACAUGUGCCAAUGAAAAUCAUAACAACAAAAGCAAGCAUAAUGCAUCCAAAAAAAAGAAAAAGGGGUAAAUAAAUGAAAAUUUUAUUUAUUAAGAGAUAGUAUAUAAAAUUAAUCAGGUAUAAGCUCUUUUGGUUGAAUUUUAUAUAAUGAUAGAACUAAUCAAUUUUUUUAUGAUAAUUUUUGCUGCAUUUUUUCGAGGAAAAUCAAUUGGGUGUUCAUUAUUUGAAUGCAAAAUAAGAUUUCAGAGAUCAAUAAUUUGCUUAUACAUUUCUAGAAUAAUUUAGUAAAAAUUAGAUAUGCUCUUUUGCAGCAAAAUAUAAGCUCUUAUUUUAUUUUACUUUUUAUUCUGUAGCUUAAUCGGCACCUUAUUGCUGAAGCUACAAAUGCGAAUGCUGAAUGUGCAUAGUUUAUCAUUUUUGUUAUGCAUAACACUUCUAAAUAUGGGUAGCACUCUUGCAUGUGUUUUAGCAAUGAACUCAUUUGUACUACUUCAUAAUUGAUUUAACAAAUAUUCUCUUACUUGAUGAACCCAACUAUUUUCUUGCUUGAUGAACUAACCAAUCACCUUGGUAAUCCUUCCCUCCCUUAUGAAAAGCCUUUUAUUUGUUGAGGUGCUGUUUUAUUUGAUUGAUUUCUCUAUUGAUAUGUGGAUCAAUUACUAGGAAAUCAAAGUUGAAAUUGUCCUCAAAGACCACAAGGUUCAUUUAUAUUGCCUAUUUGAUCUUUUAUCAUAUGUGGUUGAUGUUCUGAUGGGUGAGUUAUUCUUAUAAAAUAGUUGAACUUGAAAUAUUGUAAUCUUAAUUUAAUUUUCUUUUCAAUGAUUGAUGUGGUUAUGUUCUUAGUUGAACUAUAUUGUUAUAAAAUUAGUUUGCUAUGGUGUUAUUAGAUUUCAUUUGCUUGCUAAAGCUCAUUGUUUUGUUUUAAUGAAACAUUAGAUCACAACUUUCACAUUUAAGUAUUUAACCG
Non-coding RNA from Arachis ipaensis, 2475 nucleotides. The record is from RefSeq and is a predicted model, not a curated record. NCBI's taxonomy places the organism in Eukaryota, Viridiplantae, Streptophyta, Magnoliopsida, Fabales, Fabaceae.